Molecule: long non-coding RNA, 390 nt
Organism: Helianthus annuus (common sunflower)
Lineage: Eukaryota; Viridiplantae; Streptophyta; Magnoliopsida; Asterales; Asteraceae
Exons: 3
Source: RefSeq, a predicted model, not a curated record
GGUAAUUGAACUCAAUAGGAACGGGCGCAGGAGCGUCAAGUGGACAAGCGAGUGCCGAACCACGUCAAAAAGGGUUACUUUGAAGGAACGGGCGCAGGAGCGUCAAGUGGACAAGCGAGUGCCGAACCACGUCAAAAAGGGUUACUUUGAAGGUAAUUAGAAGUCAUGGAUGGCGAUCAAGCGACAAGAUAAAUGAACCGAACACUCCACUUCGAAGCUUCCGCUAUGUUAAACUUGUUAAACAGUGGUUCUUUUGUUGUAAUCAAAGUCUUAAACAACAAUAUUACGUUCUACUUUUGUUCUUAGUAGGCUAACUAGUAAAAGUUUUGAAACCUUUGUAAAUUUUAACGGCUGUUGGUAUAUAAUAGAUAUUAAAUUCUAGUAUAAAAA